Canis lupus familiaris (dog) is the source of this 1471-nucleotide RNA transcript. It is a transcript of the gene named family with sequence similarity 204 member A, with no coding region annotated. The record is from RefSeq and is a predicted model, not a curated record. Lineage: Eukaryota; Metazoa; Chordata; Mammalia; Carnivora; Canidae. The transcript has 9 exons.
AAGCGGAGCGAAGCGCGGCCGGUUGCCAUGACGACCCGAGGCCAGAACGGCCGCAGCCCAUUGGCUGAGAAGCCGGAGCCAAUGGGGAGGCGCGGUGUUGGCUGGGUCUUAAGAUGGCUGCCGGGCGGCCGGCUCCCGACGGAAGAAAGGAUGUGGAGUGGGUUGCUACCUCCUGGCCUAAACGAAAGUGAUAUUGAAUUGAAUUCUGAAGAUGAAACCCCAUUAGAGAACUCUGGACUUAACCUACAGGAAGAUAAAGAAGAUGGGGCCAUUACAAAAACAGAGGUCUCCGAUUUCCCAACAGAUGGACCAAAACCUGGAGCAGAGGCUAAUGUCAAUGCAUAUGAAGAGUGCCCUUCUGGAAUUGCCUUAAAUAUGUGGCAUAAAUUUCAAGAAUUGCAUAAAAAACAUUCUGAACAGAAAACCUCAACUUCAGGAUUCAGAAGGAAAAAAAGAAAACGCUCCAGGAAAGGUAAAUUGAAGAAUGAGGAAGAGUCUCAUAGUGAGCAGACCCCAAGUGAAACCCAGUGGAAGGAGCUUACUCAGUAUUUUGGAAUCAAUGAUAGGUUUGACCCCCCUGUUAAGAAGAAAAAAAUCGAUAAGUCGGGCCUUGAAAAGAGCAUAGACCAGGCUGUGGAAGAAUGGAACAUCGAGAAGGCUGAGGAACUCAGCAACCAGCUAGCUACUCGAGAGGAAUAAGUGAAACACAUUUUAAGCAUGUGAAGGACACAAAAUUGAUAUGACUUUUCAUCAUCAUUACAAGCCAAAAGAUUCUUUCUAUAAAAUACAUAGACCAGGCUUGUUGAAUGUUUAUCAGUUGAAGAACAUUCCAUUUAACCUAACCCAAGAAAAAUACAGUUGGAAAAUAUACCUUUUACAUGAACAGCUUGGUGUUAAAAUUGCCAAAGCAGUUGCCUGCCACAACUUUGUAAAAGCCAAAAAGGAUGCUGAAAAUUCGCAGGUUGCUCGAAAAAAGAAAAAACUUGCAUGGGGGUUUGAAGCAAAGAAGAGAUGGGAAACCAAGAGCAACAUGGGAUAUAUGUAACUUGCCAGAAUUCCUCAAGACAUUUGAGUCUUGACUUGGGUUUUUACCUGAGUCUUCAACUGCUCAAUUUGCUGAUAAUGUUAACUAUAUCAGGAAACUAAUAGAAGCUGGAAAAAUAAGUAUAAAAUUUGGGAGUUGGUUAUUAAAUCUUGUCAGUCUUUUUCUAAAGAGUUCCUUCUAUUGAAGUGAAUAAGAUGGAGUGAUCUGUUAUUUGUAUGAGAAAUCUAAGCAUACGUACUGGGGGAAAAUUAUUUAUUUAUUUAUUUAGCCCUCUAGUAUAAAAUCAGUUUUACUUUUCAUCCAUUUGGUGUAGCAUAGCCAGGGAGUUCCUUGUUCGUUCUUCUCUGUACCCAGUGGAACUGCACUCACUCUGGAAUUAUGUUUUAAGAUUGGCAUUUGUUUAUAAUAGAUUAGUAGUGCAAUGAA